UACAGAGGGUGCAAGCGUUAAUCGGAUUUACUGGGCGUACAGGGCGCGUAGGCGGUUAUGUUAGUGUGAUGUGAAAGCCCCGGGCUCAACCUGGGAAGUGCAUCGCAAACGACAUAACUGGAGUAGAUGAGAGGGUGGCGGAAUUUCCAGUGUAGCGGUGAAAUGCGUAGAGAUUGGAAGGAACGCCAGUGGCGAAGGCAGCCACCUGGCAUGAUACUGACGCUGAGGCGCGAAAGCGUGGGGAGCGAACAGG
This 253-nucleotide ribosomal RNA is filed under the name uncultured bacterium. RNAcentral's name for it is "partial 16S ribosomal RNA". It matches the Rfam family "Bacterial small subunit ribosomal RNA", at positions 524 to 776 of the family's 1533-position model. The record is from RNAcentral.